AGAAGAGGAUGGGAUCCCCUUCAUUCUGAAAAUGGGAUAGUUUACUAGUUAACCAUUAUCUUUGGAAAAUAUGAAGGCAACAGGAACAGGAUAGGACCGUGUUGAUGAAAUCACGCAGCCUUGACCCGAGCGCUGGAGAAAAGUUCUCAGUAGAUCGAGUUACGGAGAAAAGUUUUUAUCAAUAGGUCGAUAUUUCUGUUGAUAUUUUUCAUAAUUUGAAAGAAAA
Molecule: unclassified non-coding RNA, 226 nt
Filed under: Hevea brasiliensis (rubber tree)
Lineage: Eukaryota; Viridiplantae; Streptophyta; Magnoliopsida; Malpighiales; Euphorbiaceae
Source: RNAcentral